Molecule: ribosomal RNA, 508 nt
Filed under: uncultured bacterium
Lineage: Bacteria
Description: bacterial SSU rRNA
Rfam family: Bacterial small subunit ribosomal RNA
Source: RNAcentral
GAGUUUGAUCGUGGCUCAGGAUUAACGCUGGCGGCGUGCCUGACACAUGCAAGUCGAACGAGUUCUAGUUGCCCGCAAGGGUGACUAGCGCGAGUGGCGGACGGGUGAGUAACACGUGGGCAACCUGCCUGAGAGCGCGGAAUAACCCUGCGAAAGCAGAGCUAAUACCGCAUGUGGUUGUUGGUUGGCAUCUUCUAACAACUAAAGUCGCAAGACGCUCUCAGAUGGGCCCGCGGCCUAUUAGCUAGUUGGUGAGGUAACGGCCCACCAAGGCAUUGAUGGGUAGCUGGUCUGAGAGGACGGACAGCCACACUGGGACUGAGACACGGCCCAGACUCCUACGGGAGGCAGCAGUGAGGAAUUUUCCGCAAUGGGCGAAAGCCUGACGGAGCAACGCCGCGUGAGGGAUGAAGUCUCUAGGGAUGUAAACCUCUGUUGGGAGGGACGAAGAUCUGACGGUACCUCCUGAGGAAGCCCCGGCUAACUACGUGCCAGCAGCCGCCGCCGU